Molecule: transfer RNA, 76 nt
Filed under: Rhodocyclaceae bacterium
Lineage: Bacteria; Pseudomonadati; Pseudomonadota; Betaproteobacteria; Rhodocyclales; Rhodocyclaceae
Description: tRNA-Cys
Rfam family: tRNA
About the family: Transfer RNA (tRNA) molecules are approximately 80 nucleotides in length. Their secondary structure includes four short double-helical elements and three loops (D, anti-codon, and T loops).
Source: RNAcentral
GAUCGCGUAGCCAAGGGGUAAGGCCGGUGGCUGCAAACCAUCUAUUACGGAGGUUCGACUCCUCCCGCGAUCUCCA